This is a long non-coding RNA of Lutra lutra (Eurasian river otter), 2302 nucleotides long. RefSeq lists it as uncharacterized. Lineage: Eukaryota; Metazoa; Chordata; Mammalia; Carnivora; Mustelidae. The transcript has 3 exons. The record is from RefSeq and is a predicted model, not a curated record.
CUCCCUUCUGGGUUACCAGGCAUCCUGGGGUAUGGGGAGGGGAGGCUGGUGGAGGCAGGAGGAACGGGGCCUGAGUGGCUGUGUGGGAAGCUCUGCCUCUCAUGUGUCCUGUCUCUCCAGGCCCCAGGGACAGUGGAGGGAGCGUCUCCAGCCUUCAGCAAACAUCAGGAAGAGAACGCUCAGCUAUAGGACCUACCAUUAGAGGUGGCUGCGUCAUAACUCUGGUUUCAGGACUGUCAUCCCCACUAGACUGUCAGAGACUUUGCGUCAGGAAUGCGCAAUACCUUAGUGACAACCGGCAAGCUGAGUGAGCGCAUGGAGAGAUGGAGUGAGAUGUGUCUCCGAGGAUUUCAUGAGAGCCGGGGGCUGCCCUGUCCCACCACAGACUUCUACACACCUCUACCUCCAUACCCCGGUUCCUCCUCCCUCCCUUUGACCUCAGUCCCUACUCAACAGUCCCCUGGUGCUCACACAUGGCCGGCUGAGAACUCCUCCAAGCUUGCCACCUAGCUCAGGACUCCCGCGGCCCGGGAGACAACGAGCCUCUGGGUAACUUUGGAGUCAUCUGUGCAGCUGUCCUGUGAGGCAGGGAACCAAAUGGCCACAAAUGGUGACAAGAAGAGCCCUCAUAAGGAUGAAGAAAGUAUGGCUUGCUGGCCUUAGCACAGGCUGUCUUUUGGGUUGCCCCAUCUUCCUUUCCCAUCUUUCCUCUUUCCAGAUCCCAUUAGGGCUCCUGGGUACCAGAAAGUGAUGCCCAGUUGAGCAGCUGUUCACAUACAAGUGGAAGGCAGCAGCCAAGAACCAGGCCUAAUACUUGCUCCAGCCCCAUCCAGCCAGGCCUCGGCUCCCAAACACAGAGCUGCCUCCUUCCUGCCAGAAUUCUACAGGUGAGGCUCCAGGCAGGUGUAGAGAGCUCCCCAGCAGCCCAACACUGCAAGGUUGGAAACCUCGCUGUAGCCGGACAAGCCUAUGAUUGGCACCAGAGAGGAAGGGCCUGAAGAAGCAGCCUCCCCAACAUUUGCCUGGGUCUCAGAUGCCGGAGAAGUGAAGGAGAGCAGGGGAUGUGAAGGCAUCAGCCCUGGGCUUGGGGAUGAGGUAUAAGGGCCUUGAACGAAUUGACCUUGGUGUUCUCGGAAGGAACAUGUGAGAACAUCCACCCCCCCCGGCCUGCCUGUUCGGUCCCGGUCUGCUGGACAGGAAGCACGAUCUAGGCUGUGGAGUUAAACCAAAUUGCAUUGAGACCUCCAUAGGCAGGUUACGUUGCUCCCAUCCCCGAACUCGCCUCUAAACCUCCAGAAAGAACAACGAGCUUCUUACUGUAGGCGGAGGCCAGCUGUCAUCAUUCUCCUCUGGUAAGAGUCUCGGGUAUUGGAAGACAAAUGGCCUGAACUCUGCAAUACCCGUCCCCUGGGGUGGCUGGUGACAGCUGGUUGAGGGGAGAGGGGGAAUGGGCUCGGACACGUUGGCAGGUAUCCCCGUGAGCCCAGAGCUGAGAAAAAGAGAACUCAGGAGGGGGGACUCGGUGGGUGGUCCACCAAGGAGCAGUCACCCUACUCAGCCACACAAUCUCCCUAGAGCAAUGGAUGGGCCCAGGCCCUUGCUCGCCUAGAACAAUGAGAACAGAAGCUGAUCAUUGCCGGACUGCAACCAGACUCAGUGGCAGUUGGGGAGCCAGCUGUAGGUCAGGAGUAAAAGUACAAAGUGGGGGGGAGGCCAGGACUUAUGGGCUUGGAAACUGGCCUCUGCAGGCACACUGAGGGGUCUACGAUCCCUGCAGAAUGGCCCCAGGGUCCAGAUUUUCCUCCCCUGGCUGGGAAGGAGGGUGGAUCCACAUGGGAGUCAGAGAGGCCUUGCAGAGGGUAAGGGGCUUGGAGAGGCCACUACAGGGUCAGGGCAGGGGAGUGUGAAGGUUAGGAGUGAUGCUGAGGCUAGCCAAAGAAAAGCUUUCCUUCCAGGGGGCCCUAAGGCCAGGGAAAGGCCUGCAGGGGCUACUAGGGAGGGGCUCAGGGUCUGGCUCGAGAAGGCUGAAAAAGAACACGCAGUCUGGGCAUCUGGGCGGGUGGCAGGUAUCAGGCAGAGCAGCUCCAGGAGCCCAGACCAGUGCCCCUCGGCAUCCCCUGGCCUCUCUGUCCCUUGGUUGAGUUUGGGUGUCUUUCACCUUUGGGUCAUUAAUGCUUCUUUUGAAAGGUUCCUACUUGUUCUUUGCUGGGUUUGGCGGGGGAGAGGGGGAAGGGGCUGACCUGGAAGCCGGGCAAGGCCAGGGUGAGAGGGGAAGGAGCUGGUGCAUGGGGAGCUCACCACU